RNAcentral lists this transfer-messenger RNA (409 nucleotides) under Chlamydiales (chlamydias). RNAcentral describes it as "GCA-2709385 sp002709385 Standard tmRNA". It matches the Rfam family "transfer-messenger RNA". From Rfam's summary of the family: Bacterial tmRNA, also known as 10Sa RNA or SsrA, is named for its dual tRNA and mRNA-like properties. Its role is to liberate the mRNA from a stalled ribosome. The record is from RNAcentral. RNAcentral also lists the same sequence under 1 other name. Lineage: Bacteria; Pseudomonadati; Chlamydiota; Chlamydiia.
GGGGGUGAUCUGGUUUCGACUGGGGAGCAAAGUAGUAGUUGCAUGUGGAGGGUAUCGGUUGGCCUCCUAAAAAAACCGAUAAGCAUAUAAUUGCUGAAAAACAAACAUCAAACGUGAUCGCAGUUGACUUCUCUGCUGAGAAUGUCGACCUAGAGCGCGCGGCAGCAUAACUUAUAUUGCUGCUCGAUCUUUGCGGAAUUGGACCAAGGAGUUCGUCGAGAUCGUCAUUUAACUUGGUAUGGUCUUAAUCCUCGCUGCUUCUAGGGGAUUUUUUCCAAGAUUAAUAGGAGCGAACCUUUCCUAGUGGAGUACCCUGCAUAGGGAGAGGUUUAUUUACAGGGUAUUAAACAUGUAGACGCUAUUAUGGAGUUUGCUUAGGACGAGAGUUCGAUUCUCUCCACCUCCAACA